This 262-nucleotide ribosomal RNA is filed under the name uncultured bacterium. Its description in RNAcentral is "partial 16S ribosomal RNA". It matches the Rfam family "Bacterial small subunit ribosomal RNA", at positions 508 to 769 of the family's 1533-position model. The record is from RNAcentral.
CCAGCAGCCGCGGUAAUACGUAGGGUGCGAGCGUUAAUCGGAAUUACUGGGUGUAAAGGGUGUGUAGGCGGGGCCGUAAGUCAGGGGUGAAAGGUCGCAGCUUAACUGCGACAUUGCCUUUGAUACUGCGGUCCUUGAGUGUCGGAGGGGCCACUAGAAUUCGUGGUGUAGCGGUGAAAUGCGUAGAUAUCACGAGGAAUACCAGAGGCGUAGGCGGGUGGCUGGACGACAACUGACGCUGAGGCACGAAAGCGUGGGGAGC